CCCCCGGUGGCUUAGACAGUAAAGAAUCUGCCUGCAAUGCAGGAGACCAGGGUUUGAUCCCUGGUUGGGGAA
Molecule: transfer RNA, 72 nt
Filed under: Bos taurus (domestic cattle)
Lineage: Eukaryota; Metazoa; Chordata; Mammalia; Artiodactyla; Bovidae
Also listed under: 3 other names
Rfam family: tRNA
About the family: Transfer RNA (tRNA) molecules are approximately 80 nucleotides in length. Their secondary structure includes four short double-helical elements and three loops (D, anti-codon, and T loops).
Source: Rfam by way of RNAcentral